This 442-nucleotide ribosomal RNA is filed under the name uncultured bacterium. RNAcentral describes it as "partial 16S ribosomal RNA". It matches the Rfam family "Bacterial small subunit ribosomal RNA", at positions 338 to 795 of the family's 1533-position model. The record is from RNAcentral.
CCUACGGGAGGCAGCAGUGGGGGAUAUUGCACAAUGGGGGAAACCCUGAUGCAGCGACGCCGCGUGGGCGAAGAAGUAUUUCGGUAUGUAAAGCCCUAUCAACAGGGAAGAAGAAAUGACGGUACCUGAGUAAGAAGCACCGGCUAAAUACGUGCCAGCAGCCGCGGGAAUACGUAUGGUGCAAGCGUUAUCCGGAGUUACUGGGUGUAAAGGGAGCGCAGGCGGCACGGCAAGCCUGAUGUGAAAGUCCGAGGCCCAACCGUGGAAUUGCAUUGGGAACUAGCGGGCUGGAGUGCCGGGGAGGUAGGCGGAAUUCCUAGUGUAGCGGUGAAAUGCGUAGAUAUUAGGAGGAACUCCGGUGGCGAAGGCAGCCUACUGGACGGUGACUGACGCUGAGGCUCGAAAGCGUGGGGAGCAAACAGGAUUAGAUACCCGAGUAGUC